GCAGAGUCUUACUGGAGUGUUUUUGGUGGUAUUACUCAUGCAUAUGUCAAAGCAAAACUGCUAUGGAGGAGACUGGGUGAGGUGAUGAAGCUUCUACAUUAAAAAGCAUACCAUGGAGGCCUUGUCUCCUCUUGGAUGGAGGUGGAGCUGUGUGGCAAGCUGCCCCUGUGGCCUGCAUCGAUGAUGGGAGCAGGCUGCUGAGAACUGGGGUCACACUACCCUAAGCACCCCAGAAAACUGAUUCACCAGGCUCGUUGAAAUAAGCUUGGGGCA
Molecule: long non-coding RNA, 273 nt
Filed under: Struthio camelus australis
Lineage: Eukaryota; Metazoa; Chordata; Aves; Struthioniformes; Struthionidae
Description: lncRNA (ENSSCUG00000000382.1)
Source: RNAcentral